Molecule: ribosomal RNA, 232 nt
Filed under: uncultured bacterium
Lineage: Bacteria
Description: partial 16S ribosomal RNA
Source: RNAcentral
AAUCCGACCUAGGCUCAUCCUUUAGCGCGAGGUCUUACGAUCCCCCGCUUUCCUCCGUAGAGCGCAUGCGGUAUUAGCCCGGCUUUCGCCGGGUUGUCCCCCACUACAGGGUAGAUUCCUACGUAUUACUCACCCGUCCGCCACUCGUCGCCAGGGUUGCCCCCGCGUUACCGUUCGACUUGCAUGUGUUAGGCAUGCCGCCAGCGUUCGUUCUGAGCCAGGAUCAAACUCU